GAGUUUGAUUCUGGCUCAGAUUGAACGCUGGCGGCAGGCUUAACACGUGCAAGUCGAACGGUAGCAGGAAGAAAGCUUGCUUUCUUUGCUGACGAGUGGCGGACGGGUGAGUAAUGCUUGGGAAUCUGGCUUAUGGAGGGGGAUAACUGUGGGAAACUGCAGCUAAUACCGCGUAGUAUCGAGAGAUGAAAGGGUGGGACCUUCGGGCCACCUGCCAUAAGAUGAGCCCAAGUGGGAUUAGGUAGUUGGUGGGGUAAAGGCCUACCAAGCCGACGAUCUCUAGCUGGUCUGAGAGGAUGACCAGCCACACUGGGACUGAGACACGGCCCAGACUCCUACGGGAGGCAGCAGUGGGGAAUAUUGCGCAAUGGGGGGAACCCUGACGCAGCCAUGCCGCGUGAAUGAAGAAGGCCUUCGGGUUGUAAAGUUCUUUCGGUAAUGAGGAAGGGGUAUUAUUGAAUAGAUAAUAUCA
RNAcentral lists this ribosomal RNA (472 nucleotides) under Pasteurella dagmatis. Its description in RNAcentral is "bacterial SSU rRNA". It matches the Rfam family "Bacterial small subunit ribosomal RNA", at positions 9 to 474 of the family's 1533-position model. Lineage: Bacteria; Pseudomonadati; Pseudomonadota; Gammaproteobacteria; Pasteurellales; Pasteurellaceae. The record is from RNAcentral.